GAUUUCUAUUCCAUCUCUAGCCCCGAAUCCUAAAGCCAUUUUCCCUUAAUGCCCUGAAACUGAACUGCGCUCUUGUCAGCUUAGUUGUUUAGUUUUGACAAAAGUGUCCAAAACCCCACCCAUUUCCCCUUCCUCCCUCUCUCUGUGGAUCUCUUAUUCUAUCUUUGAAUAUCAACAUGAAAAUCCGUAUACUCUGUUCUUAUGGCUAUAUACUGUACCCUGAGGGUUGAAUGUAUAUUUUAGCAGCAAUCUACCUUAGUACUGGUCUCCUUCAUCUCAGAAACAUGAAGUCAUGCUGGAUUUUUAAAUCGAGAUGUGCUUGUCUAUUCUAUCCCGAGAUAAAUGUUUUAUUUUUUAAUAAUCAAUUAUAAAAGACCAGACAUGUUUAAAUGAUAGAUAACUAAGUAACGCUUCUUCUUCUAAUGUAAAUUUGAAUGUCUAUAUUGCUGAGAGCUAUAUAAAUUAAAGAAGGAGAUGUUAUAACUUGUGCAAAAGGCUAUAAUGGAGGGAAUGAAGUGAGCCAUUCUAAAGCUAUGGGUAAAAGAAGGGCCUUAAAUGAAGCAGGUGAUAAACAGUAAAUAUACAAAACAGUAUAUGUAUUUUUAACAUUUUACGUGAUCAUAUGGAAGAAAUUAGAUGUUUUUGUCACUGUCCUGGAAAUUGUCUCACCUUAGGUUGUUUCUGCAGCAGACACCUUUCAUCAUAAACAUAUUGUUAAACAUAUAGCCCGUUAACUCUGUUUCUACAAGUGUAUAUUGUGCUGCUCAGUGUGUGUCUCGGUAGAAUAUUUUAUUUGCGACCAAAGACGCUAUCCUUAUCUAGUUGGUAUAUUUAUCAGCUUAUAAAAAAAUCAAUCCUGAAGUAGAAAAAAAUAACAUAACAUAACAUUUGUUUUCCAAAGUGACUCAGUCACGUGUCCUGAUGUUGCAGGAAUUAAUGUUUAGUUUGUGUGUCUGUGAUGUUGUGGCAUUCUCAAAACCAUCGGCAGCGAGACUCCUUGUGUUGCGACCGCAAUGAAGUCAUGCAGUAGAUAGCUGUUACCUCGUUGAUCAGUCCAUGCCUUAACGGAAAAAAAAAAGUCUGUCUAUUUUGAGGAGAACACGUAGUUGCAUAACUGUGGGCAAGUUGUGACAAAAGAUCUGGAUCUCCAAUAAUCUCACUAUGAUCUACUACUUUCCUGCUUUCCCCUUUUCAUCAAUUAUAAUGAUGUUCAAUCACAUAAUGCAGGAUCAGUAUGUGCCAUAAAUUACACCAAUGCACUGUGAGUAUUUUCUUAUUGGCUGCUUAUCUAUACUAUAUGUCAGUGCUGUAUUAAACACUAGUAUUGUACUCAUUUGGGUACAGACAGAUUGAAACAAUGCAACUCCUAUGGGGGUUGUCUUAAUUGAGUUAAUUCAGCAAAUUUUUAAAUUGUAUUAUUAAUAAAAGUAGCCCACACAUUCCUGAAACGUCUAAUUUAAGGGCGAUUUUAACCAAAUGUUUAAAUUGACGACAUAUGAAAUGCAGUAAGUAAAUGUUUCUUGUCCUGUCCUCUGUAUCCAUGUCAAGCUAAGAAAUUAUCUAAUUUUUUUACAAUGCAAAACAUAUCUAGGCCUAUCUAAAAUCCAUAAAACGCACAUUAAACCACACAUUUCAAGGUCUAAAAGUCUUUAAUAAGUCAGUACGAAUAAGUCUUUAGUCAGGGCAAUUGAACUGUUUCAUUUAAAUGUAAUGUGUUUGUCAAAGUAUGUCAUCUUUGUGCAAAGUAAGAAUAAAACUACAGUAUAUCAGAAUAUUUCUGGAUUUGAAUAUCUAAAUAAAUUGAUAUUGUUUACAAGGUU
This is a long non-coding RNA of Etheostoma cragini (Arkansas darter), 1820 nucleotides long. RefSeq lists it as uncharacterized. The transcript is spliced from 2 exons. The record is from RefSeq and is a predicted model, not a curated record. NCBI's taxonomy places the organism in Eukaryota, Metazoa, Chordata, Actinopteri, Perciformes, Percidae.